GCCAUGGUGGUGUAGUGGUAGCAUAUCUGGUUACGUUUGGGCACGUGCGCAUUCUUUCAUUCAAGCGUGGUCCCGAUAAAUCAGGAGGUCGCAGGUUCGAUCCCUGCCCAUGGUG
This is a transfer RNA of Aureobasidium pullulans, 115 nucleotides long. It matches the Rfam family "tRNA". Rfam says of the family: Transfer RNA (tRNA) molecules are approximately 80 nucleotides in length. Their secondary structure includes four short double-helical elements and three loops (D, anti-codon, and T loops). Further hydrogen bonds mediate the characteristic L-shaped molecular structure. tRNAs have two regions of fundamental functional importance: the anti-codon, which is responsible for specific mRNA codon recognition, and the 3' end, to which the tRNAs corresponding amino acid is attached (by aminoacyl-tRNA synthetases). tRNAs cope with the degeneracy of the genetic code in two manners: having more than one tRNA (with a specific anti-codon) for a particular amino acid; and 'wobble' base-pairing, i.e. permitting non-standard base-pairing at the 3rd anti-codon position. Lineage: Eukaryota; Fungi; Ascomycota; Dothideomycetes; Dothideales; Saccotheciaceae. The record is from Rfam.